GAUGAACGCUGGCGGCGUGCCUAAUACAUGCAAGUCGAGCGAACGGACGAGAAGCUUGCUUCUCUGAUGUUAGCGGCGGACGGGUGAGUAACACGUGGAUAACCUACCUAUAAGACUGGGAUAACUUCGGGAAACCGGAGCUAAUACCGGAUAAUAUUUUGAACCGCAUGGUUCAAAAGUGAAAGACGGUCUUGCUGUCACUUAUAGAUGGAUCCGCGCUGCAUUAGCUAGUUGGUAAGUUAACGGCUUACCAAGGCAACGAUGCAUAGCCGACCUGAGAGGGUGGUCGGCCACACUGGAACGGAGACACGGUCCUGACUCCUACGGGAGGGAGCAGUAGGGAAUCUUACGCAAUGGGCGAAAGCCUGACGGAGCAACGCCGAGUGAGUGAUGACGGUCUUCGGAUCGUAAAACUCUGUUAUUAGGGAAGAACAUAUGUGUAAGUAACUGUGCCCAUCUUGACGGUACCUAAUAAGAAAGCCACGGCUAACUACGUG
This 497-nucleotide ribosomal RNA is filed under the name uncultured bacterium. RNAcentral's name for it is "partial 16S ribosomal RNA". It matches the Rfam family "Bacterial small subunit ribosomal RNA", at positions 28 to 507 of the family's 1533-position model. The record is from RNAcentral.